CCAGCAUUUACAAUUAACCCCUUGACAAUGACCCACCCCCACAUAACAUAACACCCAAACAUUGAACAUUUUAUUUAACAUGAACAUGACCAUUGCCACCAAAGGGCACCAUCCAUUGCCACCAAAGGGCACCAUCCAUUGCCACCAAAGGGCACCACAAGUGUAGGGGCAUACCGAGACACCCUAUACACACCCCGGUUCGGAGCUACCUACGAGCUCGAACCUACCAAACCAGUCCAAAGGCCUACCUAUUAGCCCUGAACUCCAAACCUUUUCCCCAUCUCACUCUUUUCUCCCCCCAACUUUACUCUCCAUCCCCCGCCACAGCUCAGAGCUCGAGCUCCUGAGCGACACCCCCCCUAGGGAAAAAAGCGCUCUCUGGAGGCCCUCCUGGAAACCCAGCAACAAAAAGUCCAAGCCCACAUCGGACAGAUGGACCCCAUCACUCCUAUAAUAACCUGGGAGCAUGUCUUCCAACUCCCUGUGCCUGAUCACAACCCCCCCUGACCGCCUUAUGUAUGCUGCCAUCACCUUGUUAACCUUACCCUUAAUUUUCGCCACUGCGGAGGGAUUCCGCGUGUGCCGCCAGUACAACCUUGGAACCAUUUUCGACCACACUUCCAUAAACCCUGGCACUAACUCCCUUAACCUGUCCACGUCCCUCUUCAUAAACUCGAGCAGGACCUUUUGAGGUAACGACCCCACA
This is a non-coding RNA of Pelobates cultripes (western spadefoot toad), 706 nucleotides long. NCBI's taxonomy places the organism in Eukaryota, Metazoa, Chordata, Amphibia, Anura, Pelobatidae. The record is from the annotation of a GenBank genome assembly.